UGCAGCUGUGUCAAAUUCAAUGCCUGCCUUACCCAUGGAAGGCACUGGCCCCAAAGGCUGCCACAGAGAUACUGUAACUCAUGGGCACUGUUCCUCUUGCUUGAGCCUCAGGGAUAAAUUUUGUUACAGACAUGG
RNAcentral lists this small nucleolar RNA (135 nucleotides) under Echinops telfairi (small Madagascar hedgehog). RNAcentral's name for it is "Small nucleolar RNA SNORA5 (ENSETEG00000022171.1)". It matches the Rfam family "Small nucleolar RNA SNORA5". From Rfam's summary of the family: ACA5 is a member of the H/ACA class of snoRNA that guide the sites of modification of uridines to pseudouridines. Lineage: Eukaryota; Metazoa; Chordata; Mammalia; Afrosoricida; Tenrecidae. The record is from RNAcentral.